Long non-coding RNA from Cyprinus carpio (common carp), 152 nucleotides. RefSeq lists it as uncharacterized. The transcript is spliced from 3 exons. NCBI's taxonomy places the organism in Eukaryota, Metazoa, Chordata, Actinopteri, Cypriniformes, Cyprinidae. The record is from RefSeq and is a predicted model, not a curated record.
UUCGCGGUGCUGAUUGGCUGAGUAAUACCGUGAUAGAGCGAAACCAACGGCAGAUGUUCCAGAAUUCUCCUGAGAUUGAUCAUUGAGCUUUAUCUCCUGAGCAAUUCUUGAGCAUUACGAGCACUACUGACUCUCCACUGCACAAUAUCCAG